RNAcentral lists this ribosomal RNA (450 nucleotides) under uncultured bacterium. RNAcentral describes it as "partial 16S ribosomal RNA". It matches the Rfam family "Bacterial small subunit ribosomal RNA", at positions 354 to 796 of the family's 1533-position model. The record is from RNAcentral.
GUGGGGAAUAUUGGACAAUGGGCGAAAGCCUGAUCCAGCCAUGCCGCGUGUGUGAAGAAGGUCUUCGGAUUGUAAAGCACUUUAAGUUGGGAGGAAGGGCAGUAAGUUAAUACCUUGCUGUUUUGACGUUACCGACAGAAUAAGCACCGGCUAACUUCGUGCCAGCAGCCGCGGUAAUACGAAGGGUGCAAGCGUUAAUCGGAAUUACUGGGCGUAAAGCGCGCGUAGGUGGUUUUGUAAGUUGGAGGUGAAAUCCCCGGGCUCAACCUGGGAACUGCCUCCAAAACUGCAUGACUAGAGUACGGUAGAGGGUAGUGGAAUUUCCUGUGUAGCGGUGAAAUGCGUAGAUAUAGGAAGGAACACCAGUGGCGAAGGCGACUACCUGGACUGAUACUGACACUGAGGUGCGAAAGCGUGGGGAGCAAACAGGAUUAGGUACCCGUGUAGUCC